GAUGAACGCUGGCGGCGUGCCUAAUACAUGCAAGUCGAGCGAACGGACGAGAAGCUUGCUUCUCUGAUGUUAGCGGCGGACGGGUGAGUAACACGUGGAUAACCUACCUAUAAGACUGGGAUAACUUCGGGAAACCGGAGCUAACACCGGAUAAUAUUUUGAACCGCAUGGUUCAAAAGUGAAAGACGGUCUUGCUGUCACUUAUAGAUGGAUCCGCGCUGCAUUAGCUAGUUGGUAAGGUAACGGCUUACCAAGGCAACGAUGCAUAGCCGACCUGAGAGGAUGAUCGGCCACACUGGAACUGAGACACGGUCCAGACUCCUACGGGAGGCAGCAGUGGGGAAUCUUCCGCAAUGGGCGAAAGCCUGACGGAGCAACGCCGCGUGAGUGAUGAAGGUCUUCGGAUCGUAAAACUCUGUUAUUAGGGAAGAACAUAUGUGUAAGUAACUGUGCACAUCUUGACGGUACCUAAUCAGAAAGCCACGGCUAACUACGUG
This 497-nucleotide ribosomal RNA is filed under the name uncultured bacterium. RNAcentral's name for it is "partial 16S ribosomal RNA". It matches the Rfam family "Bacterial small subunit ribosomal RNA", at positions 28 to 507 of the family's 1533-position model. The record is from RNAcentral.